This 375-nucleotide ribosomal RNA is filed under the name uncultured bacterium. RNAcentral describes it as "bacterial SSU rRNA". It matches the Rfam family "Bacterial small subunit ribosomal RNA", at positions 29 to 405 of the family's 1533-position model. The record is from RNAcentral.
AUUGAACGCUGGCGGCAUGCCUUACACAUGCAAGUCGAACGGCAGCGCGGGAGCAAUCCUGACGGCGAGUGGCGAACGGAUGAGUAAUAUAUCGGAACGUGCCCAGUAGUGGGGGAUAGCCCGGCGAAAGCCGGAUUAAUACCGCAUGAGACCUGAGGGUGAAAGCGGGGGAUCGCAAGACCUCGCGCUAUUGGAGCGGCCGAUAUCAGAUUAGCUAGUUGGUGGGGUAAAGGCCUACCAAGGCAACGAUCUGUAGUUGGUCUGAGAGGACGACCAGCCACACUGGGACUGAGACACGGCCCAGACUCCUACGGGAGGCAGCAGUGGGGAAUUUUGGACAAUGGGCGCAAGCCUGAUCCAGCAAUGCCGCGUGCA